AUACCCUAGUACACUUAAAUUUAAUUAUUAAGCACUAGAAUAUUAGAAGUUAUAUUCUUUAAAUUUAAAAAAUUUGGCGGUAUUUUAGUCUAGUUAGAGGAACCUGUUUUAUAAUCGAUAUACCACGCAUUAUUUUACUUGCCUUAGUGAGUCAGUUUGUAUACCGUCAUUAUAAGAUAAUUUAUGAGAAAAUAUUAUUGAAAUCAUAUUAUUGAGUAUAUUAGAUCAAGGUGCAGCUUAUGGGUAAGUAAACAUGGGUUACAAUAAAAUUUAUUUAAUAUCGAUUAAGUGUUUAAAUAUAUUUAUGAAGGAGGAUUUAAUUGUAAGGAGAGGAGUAGUGAGAUUUUCUGAU
Molecule: ribosomal RNA, 352 nt
Filed under: Faxonius limosus (spinycheek crayfish)
Lineage: Eukaryota; Metazoa; Arthropoda; Malacostraca; Decapoda; Cambaridae
Description: partial 12S ribosomal RNA
Source: RNAcentral